ACUUCUUAAAUAUGUUGUCCAUGGAUUCCUCACAACUAAGAACCAUGACAUUUUGAUUUCAUUAACAUAGUCUGGAAAAAUGACAAGUGGUUAGAUGUGUAAGUCAAGAGUACCAAUGCAUACAUGCUAAACUUACAAUAUGAUGGUGCUGAAGAAACAGUUCUUACUACUUCAUCCCCUGAUUUAAAUUUUGGGAACAAGUAAAAAAGGCUUGGCAGAUAGAGAACAGUGAUUACAAGUUACCUGCAAUAUGUACCAAUCUGCGAAAUGCAUUGAACAUAGCACAGAGUACUGCUGAGGAACGAAUUUUGGCCUAUGUCUCCUAACAAAUUUCGUCCAUUUAUUCAACCUCUCCUUGUCAUUCAUGGGGAAACGAUGUACUGAGACACCCUCUGUGUGUUGACUGUUUGUACAACUUUUUCCGUUGGGCCAACCAGCAACACAAUAUUGUCCUCCUCGACGAUUUUUUGCAGAAUUUUGCCUACUCGCCAUAUUUUAACUUGCGGUGUAUCGUUACGUUUGACUAACUUAAUAAAAAAUUAUUCUCCUUA
This is a long non-coding RNA of Xenia sp. Carnegie-2017, 551 nucleotides long. RefSeq lists it as uncharacterized. Lineage: Eukaryota; Metazoa; Cnidaria; Anthozoa; Malacalcyonacea; Xeniidae. The record is from RefSeq and is a predicted model, not a curated record. The transcript is spliced from 2 exons.